This 102-nucleotide transfer RNA is filed under the name Puccinia triticina 1-1 BBBD Race 1. Its description in RNAcentral is "Puccinia triticina tRNA PTTG_20583". It matches the Rfam family "tRNA". Rfam says of the family: Transfer RNA (tRNA) molecules are approximately 80 nucleotides in length. Their secondary structure includes four short double-helical elements and three loops (D, anti-codon, and T loops). Further hydrogen bonds mediate the characteristic L-shaped molecular structure. tRNAs have two regions of fundamental functional importance: the anti-codon, which is responsible for specific mRNA codon recognition, and the 3' end, to which the tRNAs corresponding amino acid is attached (by aminoacyl-tRNA synthetases). tRNAs cope with the degeneracy of the genetic code in two manners: having more than one tRNA (with a specific anti-codon) for a particular amino acid; and 'wobble' base-pairing, i.e. permitting non-standard base-pairing at the 3rd anti-codon position. The record is from Rfam by way of RNAcentral. Lineage: Eukaryota; Fungi; Basidiomycota; Pucciniomycetes; Pucciniales; Pucciniaceae.
GCCCGGUUAGCUCAGUCGGUAGAGCAUUCGGCUUUUACGCCGACAUGACUCAAUGUGAGCAACGAAACCGAAAUGUCGGGGGUUCGAGCCCCCCAUUGGGCG